AUUGAACGCUGGCGGCAUGCCUUACACAUGCAAGUCGAACGGUAACAGGUCUUCGGAUGCUGACGAGUGGCGAACGGGUGAGUAAUACAUCGGAACGUGCCCAGACGUGGGGGAUAACGAGGCGAAAGCUUUGCUAAUACCGCAUACGAUCUAAGGAUGAAAGCAGGGGACCGCAAGGCCUUGUGCGUUUGGAGCGGCCGAUGGCAGAUUAGGUAGUUGGUGGGAUAAAAGCUUACCAAGCCGACGAUCUGUAGCUGGUCUGAGAGGACGACCAGCCACACUGGGACUGAGACACGGCCCAGACUCCUACGGGAGGCAGCAGUGGGGAAUUUUGGACAAAGGGCGAAAGCCUGAUCCAGCAAUGCCGCGUGCAGGAUGAAGGCCUUCGGGUUGUAAACUGCUUUUGUACGGAACGAAAAGGCUCUGGCUAAUACCUGGGACACAUGACGGUACCGUAAGAAUAAGCACCGGCUAACUACGUG
This 482-nucleotide ribosomal RNA is filed under the name uncultured bacterium. RNAcentral's name for it is "partial 16S ribosomal RNA". It matches the Rfam family "Bacterial small subunit ribosomal RNA", at positions 30 to 507 of the family's 1533-position model. The record is from RNAcentral.